UAAAAGGUCGGGAUAGCUCAGUUGGAGA
RNAcentral lists this transfer RNA (28 nucleotides) under Moraea vallisbelli. RNAcentral's name for it is "partial tRNA-Phe". Lineage: Eukaryota; Viridiplantae; Streptophyta; Magnoliopsida; Asparagales; Iridaceae. The record is from RNAcentral.